AUUGAACGCUGGCGGCAGGCCUAACACAUGCAAGUCGAACGGUAACAGGAAGAUUCUUCCUUCUUUGCUGACCAGUCGCGGGCGUGAUAGCUAUGUCUGUGCCACUGCCUGAUGGAGGGGGUUAACUACUGGAAACUGUUGCCACUACCGCCUAGCGUCGCAAGACCAGAGAGGGUGAGCUCCGGCCCUCUUGCCAUCGGCUAUGUCCAGGUGGGAUUAGCUAGUGGGUGGGGUAAAGGCUCACCUAGGCGACGAUCCCUAGCUGGUCUGAGGGGAUGACCAGCCACACUGGAACUGAGACACGGUCCAGACUCCUACGGGAGGCAGCAGUGGGGAAUAUUGGACAAUGGGCGAAAGCCUGAUGCAGCCAUGCCGCGUGUGUGAAGAAGGUCUUCGGAUUGUAAAGUACUUUCAGCGGGGAGGAAGGGAAGAAAGUUAAUACCUUGCUGUAUUGACGUUACCCACAGAAGAAGCACCGGCUAACUCCGUG
This 490-nucleotide ribosomal RNA is filed under the name uncultured bacterium. Its description in RNAcentral is "partial 16S ribosomal RNA". It matches the Rfam family "Bacterial small subunit ribosomal RNA", at positions 30 to 507 of the family's 1533-position model. The record is from RNAcentral.